This 636-nucleotide ribosomal RNA is filed under the name Klebsiella variicola. Its description in RNAcentral is "bacterial SSU rRNA". It matches the Rfam family "Bacterial small subunit ribosomal RNA", at positions 907 to 1533 of the family's 1533-position model. The record is from RNAcentral. Lineage: Bacteria; Pseudomonadati; Pseudomonadota; Gammaproteobacteria; Enterobacterales; Enterobacteriaceae.
GAAUUGACGGGGGCCCGCACAAGCGGUGGAGCAUGUGGUUUAAUUCGAUGCAACGCGAAGAACCUUACCUGGUCUUGACAUCCACAGAACUUUCCAGAGAUGGAUUGGUGCCUUCGGGAACUGUGAGACAGGUGCUGCAUGGCUGUCGUCAGCUCGUGUUGUGAAAUGUUGGGUUAAGUCCCGCAACGAGCGCAACCCUUAUCCUUUGUUGCCAGCGGUUAGGCCGGGAACUCAAAGGAGACUGCCAGUGAUAAACUGGAGGAAGGUGGGGAUGACGUCAAGUCAUCAUGGCCCUUACGACCAGGGCUACACACGUGCUACAAUGGCAUAUACAAAGAGAAGCGACCUCGCGAGAGCAAGCGGACCUCAUAAAGUAUGUCGUAGUCCGGAUUGGAGUCUGCAACUCGACUCCAUGAAGUCGGAAUCGCUAGUAAUCGUAGAUCAGAAUGCUACGGUGAAUACGUUCCCGGGCCUUGUACACACCGCCCGUCACACCAUGGGAGUGGGUUGCAAAAGAAGUAGGUAGCUUAACCUUCGGGAGGGCGCUUACCACUUUGUGAUUCAUGACUGGGGUGAAGUCGUAACAAGGUAACCGUAGGGGAACCUGCGGUUGGAUCACCUCCUUACCUUAAAGAA